Molecule: ribosomal RNA, 585 nt
Filed under: Pseudomonas aeruginosa
Lineage: Bacteria; Pseudomonadati; Pseudomonadota; Gammaproteobacteria; Pseudomonadales; Pseudomonadaceae
Description: partial 23S ribosomal RNA
Rfam family: Bacterial large subunit ribosomal RNA
Source: RNAcentral
AGAGUAUAAAGGCAAAAGCGCGCUUGACUGCGAGACAGACACGUCGAGCAGGUACGAAAGUAGGUCUUAGUGAUCCGGUGGUUCUGUAUGGAAGGGCCAUCGCUCAACGGAUAAAAGGUACUCCGGGGAUAACAGGCUGAUACCGCCCAAGAGUUCAUAUCGACGGCGGUGUUUGGCACCUCGAUGUCGGCUCAUCACAUCCUGGGGCUGAAGCCGGUCCCAAGGGUAUGGCUGUUCGCCAUUUAAAGUGGUACGCGAGCUGGGUUUAGAACGUCGUGAGACAGUUCGGUCCCUAUCUGCCGUGGACGUUUGAGAUUUGAGAGGGGCUGCUCCUAGUACGAGAGGACCGGAGUGGACGAACCUCUGGUGUUCCGGUUGUCACGCCAGUGGCAUUGCCGGGUAGCUAUGUUCGGAAAAGAUAACCGCUGAAAGCAUCUAAGCGGGAAACUUGCCUCAAGAUGAGAUCUCACUGGGAACUUGAUUCCCCUGAAGGGCCGUCGAAGACUACGACGUUGAUAGGCUGGGUGUGUAAGCGUUGUGAGGCGUUGAGCUAACCAGUACUAAUUGCCCGUGAGGCUUGACCAU